Molecule: ribosomal RNA, 508 nt
Filed under: uncultured bacterium
Lineage: Bacteria
Description: partial 16S ribosomal RNA
Rfam family: Bacterial small subunit ribosomal RNA
Source: RNAcentral
AUUGAACGCUGGCGGAAUGCUUUACACAUGCAAGUCGAGCGGCAGCGGGAAAGUAGCUUGCUACUUUUGCCGGCGAGCGGCGGACGGGUGAGUAAUGCCUGGGGAUCUGCCCAGUCGAGGGGGAUAACUACUGGAAACGGUAGCUAAUACCGCAUACGCCCUACGGGGGAAAGCAGGGGACCUUCGGGCCUUGCGCGAUUGGAUGAACCCAGGUGGGAUUAGCUAGUUGGUGAGGUAAUGGCUCACCAAGGCGACGAUCCCUAGCUGGUCUGAGAGGAUGAUCAGCCACACUGGAACUGAGACACGGUCCAGACUCCUACGGGAGGCAGCAGUGGGGAAUAUUGCACAAUGGGGGAAACCCUGAUGCAGCCAUGCCGCGUGUGUGAAGAAGGCCUUCGGGUUGUAAAGCACUUUCAGCGAGGAGGAAAGGUUGGUAGCUAAUAACUGCCAGCUGUGACGUUACUCGCAGAAGAAGCACCGGCUAACUCCGUGCCAGCAGCCGCCGCAG